AUAAGUUUUGCUAUAAAAGUAAACACAUCCACUGAUUCUACACUUACAAAUUUAAUCCAACUGCAGUGUGAUAUAGAGGACUUAACAAUAGCACUUUAAUAAUAUUUGAUAAGACAGUAUUCCAAGAUGAAAACUCUCCUGGUAGUUUUAUUUUCCAUUGUAUGUCUAGCCAGCAAUGUGCAGGGACGAAGAAUAAAGCGAGAGAUUCCAAAAUACUCACUGGCUGA
This is a long non-coding RNA of Lingula anatina, 227 nucleotides long. The record is from RefSeq and is a predicted model, not a curated record. NCBI's taxonomy places the organism in Eukaryota, Metazoa, Brachiopoda, Lingulata, Lingulida, Lingulidae.